This is a long non-coding RNA of Bombus terrestris (buff-tailed bumblebee), 1968 nucleotides long. RefSeq lists it as uncharacterized. The transcript is spliced from 2 exons. NCBI's taxonomy places the organism in Eukaryota, Metazoa, Arthropoda, Insecta, Hymenoptera, Apidae. The record is from RefSeq and is a predicted model, not a curated record.
CAAAAACGCGGGCCAAGCCAGUACUGAAGCACCUGCAUGAAUUCAGUUGCCGCGCUUACGAUGCUUCGUGUAUACUUCGCUGUGAUAUCUGAACUCGUAGGUAUGCGUGAACUUGUGAUAAACAUGAAGACAGGCUGAUAUGAGGGUGCGUGAGCAAUCAUGCAAGAAGCAGAUACGGAUAUAUGCUGCCAAAGAAAAGGGGCAACAUAUAAAAUAACAAUAAUGGGAUUCGCGAUGGAGUUCGAUCGCGAUGAAAUAACGCAAAACAACGUGUUCUUCGGGUUUUUCAUUUGGUAUUUUAAAUGAAUAUUCAGGAGACAAUCGCUUGAAGAUACGAAAUGGAUGAUAUUCAUUUGGACUAUUUAGUGGAUUAUUUUUUAUUAGACUAACAUCACUUUUUAAACGAACUGGGCUAUUCAGUGUAUCGUAUUCUGUAAAAACCAUUUAAAACUUCCCUGUUUAUUUGUUUAGAUAUAUAAUUUGUUCGUGACUCACAAAAAUGUUGUACGUAUAAAUAAUAUAUCUUCAACUAUGAAGCUAAGUUUAGGUGAAAGUAAAUUCUGGCUGUUUAAGAAAUGAUAGAGUUUUUGAAAAGAAGGAACUAAAAUCUAGAAGGUAAGAUUCAAAACGUUGCAAGGAAUAUUAUUUACAAAAUUUACAUUGAUUCCUUUAACAUCCAUAAGUAACGGAAGAUAAAGGUAAUUUAUGUCCAAGACUGUCAGUGUCGUUAUAUCUACGCAUUAUACAAUCUCCUAUUUUCUACAUUUGUUUUAUCAUCGUGUGUCUUUAUCAUCGUCAAAUCUACCUCAUAUAAAUCAUUCUAAAAGAGCGUAAUACAACGAUACAAUUUUACGCUAUGCUUUCGCUAUUCACAUAUUGUAAAGGGAAACACGAUCAACAAUUUACAAUUUUACACGUGUACAAAUAAGACGUGUAAUAUAUGAUAAUUAUUAUAUAAACAAAUAUUACAGUGAUCGACAGAGGUAAGUGCCUCCCUCGUGCCCGUGUCAUCACGAUAAUCAACUUCUCAUCUCUUUUCUAUAUCAGUAAGUGUGAAUGUAUACGCUUUUCAUCAGUCGGAGGAGAAGUAGCAACCUACUCGAAGUCAUGCUAUUCUAGUACAAAGACGACUAUUCGUAGAUGACACGCGCAGUUGGCGCGCAUGGAAGCACGAAUUACACGCGGCAACGACGUGACGCACCACCAAUUACUGUGAAGGCGCCAUUUUUACAUAACAGAUUGUUAGAAACGGACCAGAAAGUAUGGAGGGGAGAAAGAGAGGAUGCUAUCCGCCUACAACCGUAUAAGGAGCCCGCGCAUCUACUAGGAGAGUACGCGAUCCAGAUAGGUUAUGCCUUGCUCUCUUAUUUUCCUGAGCUCCUGGUACUAGCGUCACGUGUUUCUAGACGUCAAUCUGCCAGUGUAUCACGCUAUAAACAGACAUCUACGUACUUCAUGCAAGCCUGGUAAUUGGAAGUUGUGAUUAGAAUGCACGUGGCCUUGCGGAAUCUCUAUUGACACAAUCGUCAAUAAUACUUCUGAUACCCUAUACCCGUAAGAACUUUUGAAGCAAGCAAAUAAUUUAAAUUCAAAUUGUAUUCUUUAUAUAAGGCGUAAUCUGAAUAUUGUACGAGACUCCUGACGCAUAGGUAUCGAUUUUGUCAGUAUUUCAUUAAAUUUGUAUAAUUUCAAUGCUAUAUGGUAUAAGUUGUGAAAAGAUUUUUCAAAAUUCCUUUUCUUAUGUAUUAAUUACUCUUAGAAAAUUGCAUUACUAGUUCAUAUCGGAGGACACCGGAGUAUCUUCUUACGUUUGUUGUAAUAGUCAAUUGUUGAUAUCUAUAUGUAAGUAUAAAUUACAUUUUACGAAUGUGCUACAUGAUAUUUAUAUUUGGAAAUUACUCUACUUUAAUAAUAAUAAAUAACAUAACAAUAGAUUGAAAUUAAAGAAUAAUAAAUUAAUCUUCGUAU